ACGUUUUUUUAAAGACCAAACAGCCUAUUGUUUAUGCGCAUCAGCUAACGCAACUUGGUAGUGACAUAAAAGCUCUAUGACGUUGUUUCUAGCAAUGAAAAAACGUCAAAUUAUAACGUCCAAUUUCGCGUUUUUCACGGAUUCUAACAUGGUGUACGCUACGUAGGUACGCUACGUCUCCCAAGAAAAGAGGAACUAUUAUGCGUCGCGCUACUUUAACAUCCUGUGGAGAUUUAACACAAAUGGACACAUAAGAUACUACACUAUAUUUAACCUUCGUUCUAAAAAAAAUAAUAAAAUAUAAAUUUUGAUCUCGACUGUUUGCAUUUGCGCCGUUCUGCAUUAACUUUUUUUUUAUUCUUUCACAUGCGUAGAUUUUGUCUUAUAUUUGCGUCGAUCUGCAUUUCAUUUUUUCUUCUUCACUUGCGUAGAUUUUGUCUUUGGUUUGCGCCGAUUGUGUACAGGUAAGGUGAAAGGUUUUUUUUUGACCGAUUUAUGGGCAUUAUGUUUUCUGGUCUGUGCGUCCGUUCGUUCGUCCGUCCCCGCUUCAGGUUAACGUUUUUGGUUGCAGUUUUUGGUCAAGGUAGUUUUUGACGAAGUUGAAGUCAUAUCAACUUAAAACUUAGUAAACAUGUUCCUUAUGCAAUGAUCCUUCUAAUUUUAGUGUCAAUUUUUCAAAAAUUAAAAAAAAAUGAGUAUUCACAAGGUUAGGCCCAUAAUCAAAUAUUCCUAAAAGUUUUGACAUACUGGCAACAUGUGCAUGUAACUGAUGUCUGGAUGAUUCUCGUAAAAUAAUAUCCGAUCUUGCAAUGAAGUUAAAAUUUAUUUAUACUGCUUAUUUGACAAAAUCUUAUAGUAAAAAUAAAAUAAAAUGAUAACAAAGGGUCAUUUUUGUUUGUCAUUUGUUUCAUUUCAAAUUGUCUUAAGGAGAAAUGAUAAACAUAUUGUCUAAUCUCACUGAAGCUUACAGCUAAUUUUCUAAUGUAUGUAGAUCAACACUUUGGUUUGCCUGCUUGCUUUGUUUGUAUAUU
This 1031-nucleotide long non-coding RNA is filed under the name Mytilus galloprovincialis (Mediterranean mussel). The record is from RNAcentral. Lineage: Eukaryota; Metazoa; Mollusca; Bivalvia; Mytilida; Mytilidae.